Molecule: ribosomal RNA, 297 nt
Filed under: uncultured bacterium
Lineage: Bacteria
Description: partial 16S ribosomal RNA
Rfam family: Bacterial small subunit ribosomal RNA
Source: RNAcentral
UAGGCCUACGGGGCGCAGCAGUGGGGAAUAUUGCACAAUGGGGGAAACCCUGAUGCAGCGACGCCGCGUGAAGGAAGAAGUAUCUCGGUAUGUAAACUUCUAUCAGCAGGGAAGAAAAUGACGGUACCUGACUAAGAAGCUCCGGCUAAAUACGUGCCAGCAGCCGCGGUAAUACGUAUGGAGCAAGCGUUAUCCGGAUUUACUGGGUGUAAAGGGAGCGUAGGCGGCCUGGCAAGCCUGAUGUGAAAUACCGGGGCCCAACCCCGGGGCUGCAUUGGGAACUGCCAGGCUGGAGUG